AGAGUUUGAUCCUGGCUCAGAUUGAACGCUGGCGGCACGCCUAACACAUGCAAGUCGAGCGGUAACGGGACCAGUAGCAAUACUGGUUGCUGACGAGCGGCGGACGGGUGAGUAAUACGCAGGAACCUGCCAUGGGGAGGGGGAUAACCAAGGGAAACCUUGGCUAAUACCGCAUGACCCUGAGAAGGCAAAGCUACCCGCGAGGGCGGCGCCCUGUGAGGGGCCUGCGUCCGAUUAGCUUGUUGGUGAGGUAAAGGCUCACCAAGGCGAUGAUCGGUAACUGGUCUGAGAGGACGACCAGUCACACUGGGACUGAGACACGGCCCAGACUCCUACGGGAGGCAGCAGUGGGGAAUAUUGGACAAUGGGGGCAACCCUGAUCCAGCGAUGCCGCGUGAGUGAAGAAGGCCCUCGGGUCGUAAAGCUCUUUGGGCCGGGAAGAAGUGCUGCAGUUUAAGAGAUGGCAGCAUUGACGGUACCGGCAGAACAAGCACCGGCAAACUCUGUGCCAGCAGCCGCGGUAAUACAGAGGGUGCGAGCGUUAAUCGGAAUUACUGGGCGUAAAGGGCGCGCAGGCGGUUGUGCGAGUGUGAUGUGAAAGCCCCGGGCUUAACCUGGGAAGUGCAUCGCAAACGGCAUGACUGGAGUAGAUGAGAGGGUGGCGAAAUUUCCGGUGUAGCGGUGAAAUGCGUAGAGAUCGGAAGGAACGUCAAUGGCGAAGGCAGCCACCUGGCAUCAUACUGACGCUGAGGCGCGAAAGCGUGGGUAGCGAACAGGAUUAGAUACCCUAGUAGUCC
RNAcentral lists this ribosomal RNA (797 nucleotides) under uncultured bacterium. RNAcentral describes it as "bacterial SSU rRNA". It matches the Rfam family "Bacterial small subunit ribosomal RNA", at positions 8 to 796 of the family's 1533-position model. The record is from RNAcentral.